AGAAGUGUGAGAAACACUUCCGCCGAAAGUCCAAGGGUUCCUGCUUAAAGCUAAUCUGAGCAGGGUAAGCCGGCCCCUAAGCCGAGGGCGAAAGCCGUAGGCGAUGGGAACUAGGUUAAUAUUCCUAGGCCAGGAGGAUGUGACGGAUCAUGAAGGUUGUUCAUCCUUAUCGGAUUGGAUGGGCCGCUGAUUGGUUCCUGGAAAUAGCCCUCCAUGAGAUCGUACCCUAAACCGACACAGGUGGUCAGGUUGAAAAUACUAAGGCGUUCGGGUGAACUGUGGUUAAGGAAUUCGGCAAAAUGCCCCCGUAACUUCGGGAGAAGGGGGGCCGGAUCCGUCAAACUCCUUGCGAGUGGCAGCGGUGAUGGCCGCAGAGACCAGGCCCAAGCGACUGUUUACUAAAAACACAGGUCCGUGCGAAGUCGCAAGACGAUGUAUACGGACUGACGCCUGCCCGGUGCUGGAAGGUUAA
This 472-nucleotide ribosomal RNA is filed under the name Chloropicon mariensis. RNAcentral's name for it is "partial Bacterial large subunit ribosomal RNA". It matches the Rfam family "Bacterial large subunit ribosomal RNA", at positions 1315 to 1880 of the family's 2925-position model. Lineage: Eukaryota; Viridiplantae; Chlorophyta; Chloropicophyceae; Chloropicales; Chloropicaceae. The record is from RNAcentral.